CGUCGGCCUGGCGCGAGCGCGGCGCGCGCGGCUGAUGCUCGCGCACCCUCGGUACUUUCCCGAGGCCUGCGC
RNAcentral lists this transfer RNA (72 nucleotides) under Xylophilus ampelinus. RNAcentral describes it as "tRNA-Ile(gat)". The record is from RNAcentral. Lineage: Bacteria; Pseudomonadati; Pseudomonadota; Betaproteobacteria; Burkholderiales.